ACGUGGAUGCGGCCUGGGCAGGGUCUGGAGUGAGGAGCCUGUCGGGGACGACGACUGGUGCAGAGAUGGAUGGAGUCAGCCGCGUCCCUCAGCUCCCUGGUCGGCUCCUCUUGUUUGCAUUUUUAAGCUUGUGGUUUUACCUGUGUGUAAUAAAAAACGGCCGCGGUCUGUGGGGCGAGGAUCCUCAGUUCACCUGCUGCCCCCAGUGCCACUCCUUCUGGGAGGACAGCGCCAUCUGGAGCCUGCUGGGAGCGUCGCUGCUGGAUGGAGCUAGGGAGGAGCCUGCCCGGAGGCCGCCCUGCCUGGACCUGCUCACCAGUCAGUCCAGAGAGGAACAUCCAUGAGCCAAGAGCCCUCUUAACGCUGCUAAGCCCAGGGGUACAAAUGAGGGUGACAUCUUUGAAGAAAGCUGGUUUGGGUUUUCAAAAACCCAAGUCUUUUUUUUUUUUUUAAUUAACUAACGGAACGUGUUCCGACUGGAGAUGUGGUCCUUCGCACCUCUCGUCACAGCUGGGACGUGGGGCUGGCUCCCUGUUUCUGUUUUUGUUAGGUUUUCUGUUUUUGUUUGUUUCUUCUCCAAAUACAACUUUCCUAAUGCUAGCCCCCUGUGGUGCUAGGUGAGUGUUGACCAGGCCCAAGCGAAGUCACAGUAGACCUGGGAUCUAAAGUUUUCUGUUUUGAAGUUGUUUUUUUUUUUCCUUUAAUAUUUUGGAUGGAAUCUAGUUGCCUCCAAGAAUUGUGCCUUAUAGCAUUUGGGGACCAGGGGAUAACUUCCCCUUCCUGAGAUAUCCCUCAGCUGCUUCCCUUUAUACCCAUGCCAUGUUGAAAGCCACUGGGGCAUGUGGGCUCCUGCCCUGUGCCCUGGCUCGUUGUGCACUGCAGUGGUUAAGAGGGAAGUGGGUAAACGGUGUUUCUUAAGAUAGUGUAUCAAGCUCUUCCCGCCACCCUCUUUCCCACCCCUGGUCUGCUCCCAGCUGUUUGAAGGACAGCACAGGCCCCUUGUCCCUCAAGCCCCCCCUUUAAUUUAUUCUCUUCUUAAUACCCUUAUUCCCCAAGCUUCCUGCCACCCAUCCCUUUCUCAGAGUCUCUUAGACAAAGGCCCUCUGGACUGAGCUUCUCAGGGACACCCACGACACCCCUUACCCGCUCUAGGCAUCAGUCUUUGGUCCUGCCCUGGGAGUGUGAGCCUGGUGCCUGGGGAUGUCUCAUAAUUCUUUGCCGUGGGCUUGAUUUCGCCCUGACAUUAGACAAAAAAAAAAAAAAAAAAACUCCAUGCUGUCCCAAGAGUCAGGCUACUCAGCACUACGGCAUUUUGCACAGUGCAUUUUGCACACCCACUGGUGGGCCUGGCUUAUGCCCUCAGAACCUGGAGUGCUUGAGUGUCCCAGGUCAAGGCACCCUAGAAAAGACACCCCGAGUUUGCCUGGCCUGAUCCCCUUCUCUAGGGAAGACCUGUGACGUGAGCCCAAGGGCUGGUGUACACUUGUUUACUAUGUAAGCAAGAGUAGAAUGUCUAGUUACAGUGGAGCCUUGUACAGAAUAAAUAGUAGCUUUGAGAAGGAA
This 1563-nucleotide long non-coding RNA is filed under the name Rattus norvegicus (Norway rat). Its description in RNAcentral is "long non-coding RNA NONRATT027612". The record is from RNAcentral. Lineage: Eukaryota; Metazoa; Chordata; Mammalia; Rodentia; Muridae.